RNAcentral lists this small RNA (536 nucleotides) under Colletotrichum fructicola. RNAcentral's name for it is "eukaryotic LSU rRNA". The stretch from base 173 to 326 matches the Rfam family "5.8S ribosomal RNA". Lineage: Eukaryota; Fungi; Ascomycota; Sordariomycetes; Glomerellales; Glomerellaceae. The record is from RNAcentral.
GGGCUAUGGUUCGCUCUAUACCCUUUGUGACAUACCUAUAACUGUUGCUUCGGCGGGUAGGGUCUCCGCGACCCUCCCGGCCUCCCGCCUCCGGGCGGGUCGGCGCCCGCCGGAGGAUAACCAAACUCUGAUUUAACGACGUUUCUUCUGAGUGGUACAAGCAAAUAAUCAAAACUUUUAACAACGGAUCUCUUGGUUCUGGCAUCGAUGAAGAACGCAGCGAAAUGCGAUAAGUAAUGUGAAUUGCAGAAUUCAGUGAAUCAUCGAAUCUUUGAACGCACAUUGCGCCCGCCAGCAUUCUGGCGGGCAUGCCUGUUCGAGCGUCAUUUCAACCCUCAAGCUCUGCUUGGUGUUGGGGCCCUACAGCUGAUGUAGGCCCUCAAAGGUAGUGGCGGACCCUCCCGGAGCCUCCUUUGCGUAGUAACUUUACGUCUCGCACUGGGAUCCGGAGGGACUCUUGCCGUAAAACCCCCCAAUUUUCCAAAGGUUGACCUCGGAUCAGGUAGGAAUACCCGCUGAACUUAAGCAUAUCAUAG